CUCUUCACGUCGGUGUCGCUACCGCGUGGAGGGGGCGGCGUGUUUUCGCGGACUGAGCGUGCCUCUCUCUCUGUGUACAUAUAUAUAUAUGUGUGUGUAGGGGUCUGUGUGCGUCUCCGUGGGCUUCCCGUUUUCUCGUUUUCCGCUCUCUCUCUCUCGCCACAGACGUCUCCCUUUGCAUUCCGAAUUCGAUUCCUUAGCUUUCGCCUGGUCACCACUGCUUAGGCCAUGAGCGACCACUGGGCACCGUACGAGCGCGCAUGGGCGCAAGACCCUCAUCACCUGCAUCGCAGCGUGUGUUUGUCAGCGCUUAUCGCGGAGGCCGACCGAGCAGUUGCGGCUGCGUUGGUGAACCUUUCUCGCGAAUACGACGCAACCAUAUUGUGCGGGUCUCACCAUACCCCUGCAGAGCAGCACGUCACAUCGGCUGAAGAUGAAGGCGAGUACCACCAACGCUGUGUCGACUCUCCCGACAGCAACGCAUCGCUCGACUGGCGGCAGCUCUACUGCUCCCUCUGCCUAAUUCAAGCUCCCAUGGUGCGGUGUAGCAGGCCGGCGUUUCGCCAAGUAUGCCGAGCGUGGGGGGCGCGCGUCAGCUACACUCACAUGCUCAUCGCGGAGAGCUUCGUCAAGUCGCCGCAUGCGCGGCACGCCGAGUUUGCGCGGUACGAAGGCGAGGAUCGGCUUGUCGUGCAGCUCGCCGCCAAGAGCGGGCCUGCCGCCGCACAAGCUGCGGUGCUACUUCGCCCGUACUGCGACGGCAUCGACCUCAACUGCGGGUGCCCGCAGCGGUGGGCGAUGAAGGAAGGAAUCGGGUCUGCACUGCUCGACCAACCAGAGCGAGUGGCGGACAUGGUGCGCUCCAUUCGCAACGCCAUGCCAGACGGCAGCACGGCGUCAACGAUCGUCGGAAACGGCUGUGAGUACGGCAGCUGCACCAGCACCGUGCCGCCAUUUCUGCCGUGUGUGGUGAAGAUGCGGAUAAAAGAUGACCUGCGCCGCAGCGUCGACUUUGCGCGGCAGUGCGAGGCAGCCGGUGUGUCUUGGUUGACGGUGCACGGCCGUACCCCUACCUGCCACCCUAGUGCUGCAGUGCAGUUUGAGGCCGUCAAGCUCAUUCGCGAGAAUCUCUCUGUGCCAGUGGUGCUGAACGGCGGUGUGACGGACGUGAGCACGGCGAUGGAGGCGGCUCUACGCACCGGUUGCGGUGGGCUGAUGUCCGCGAACGGGCUGCUCGACAACCCCGCGAUGUUCUACUGUGGCGCAUCGAGAGCUGCGGCGGAGGCGGAGAUGAGCUUUGCGCCGAGCCGCCGGGGACGGCCACCCCGAACCUGCGAUCCCGCGUCGUCGCCGGCGGAGACAGCAGCGCCUGGCGUCUUUUCCGAGGUUUUCUCACCGGUGCAGCCAGUGUCGUUCUUGUGGGCACCCGACCGGUCAAACGCAGAAGCGGGGUUGCUCCGAUACACGGUGCCUGACAUGUGGCAGGCCGCCGUCACCCCACGCGAGGUCAUCUCAGACUUCAUGCGUGCAGCUAUCCGCACUGACUUGAUGGUGCCCACGACGGUGCAGCAGGUGUUGCGCAUGGCGCGGCUGUAUGUGUCGCCGGCGGAGCGCAGUCAUAUCGCACUGCUGCGAUCCAACCUCUCCGUUCUGAACGCUCUGCAAGAGAUUGGCGCCUACGUGGAAAGCGGCCGCAUCGCGUGUGAAUAAGCUCGAGCAGGCCGAGAGAGAGGGAGACCGUAGAGCUCGACUUCCCUCAUAAUUGCGCCCGUGAUGUAUGUGCGUCUGUACGCCGAGAAGCACCUCUGCGCAUCUGAGCUCGCCUCCCUCCUUGCCGCCCAUACUGUGAGAGUAUCUCACAACCCUUUGUUGCUGCCCUCUCAACGAAACGAAGAUAUACACAUAUGUGUGUGUUUUCCUUUGUUCUACAUCUGUAAUGAAG
Molecule: unclassified non-coding RNA, 1942 nt
Filed under: Leishmania donovani
Lineage: Eukaryota; Euglenozoa; Kinetoplastea; Trypanosomatida; Trypanosomatidae
Description: gene:LdHU3.34.1940(CDS-product:Dihydrouridine_syn thase_(Dus)_putative)
Source: RNAcentral